CCUGAUAUGAAAGCUGACAUUAGAACUGGUAACAAAGGAGCAGGAGCUGGUGUAAUACACAGGGGUAUCGCCCCUGGAACUCAAGAGUCCAACAGAUGCAAUUACAAAGCAGAAGGUGCAGGAGUCUGCCUACUCUGUGGAAAUGAGGUGACGCCUUCAUCACAGCCAGGAGCCAGGCUGAAAAUUAUUGUCUCUGAGACAGCACAAAACUCAGACUGCAGAAAGUUCUUUUUUUGGACAACUUCAAAGCUGAACUUUGUAUUUGAGAGAUGGAAGCAUGCAACUAAAUGCAUCUGCAUAUACGCUGCCUCACUUUAUCUGGGGAGUAACAAACCGGGUGACAGAAACAAUGCACUGGCUUAAAAAUGAUGAACUUCUUUUUUUCUUUUUCUUAUUAAAACAGAUUAAAGAAGGAUGCAGAAAAUAAUUCUUUGGAAAAAGGAAGAAAUAGACAUGGAGCCCUUGCACCUGAAAUGCACCAUGAUGCAUUAGGCAGCACAUGGAAGUGUUUGGAGCUGAAGGCACCAAACACACCCUGGCCCAGAGUCUGCC
Long non-coding RNA from Gallus gallus (chicken), 552 nucleotides. Lineage: Eukaryota; Metazoa; Chordata; Aves; Galliformes; Phasianidae. The record is from Ensembl.